This 468-nucleotide ribosomal RNA is filed under the name Fusarium oxysporum f. sp. lycopersici. Its description in RNAcentral is "eukaryotic LSU rRNA". The stretch from base 115 to 268 matches the Rfam family "5.8S ribosomal RNA". RNAcentral also lists the same sequence under 1 other name. Lineage: Eukaryota; Fungi; Ascomycota; Sordariomycetes; Hypocreales; Nectriaceae. The record is from RNAcentral.
CCACUUGUUGCCUCGGCGGAUCAGCCCGCUCCCGGUAAAACGGGACGGCCCGCCAGAGGACCCCUAAACUCUGUUUCUAUAUGUAACUUCUGAGUAAAACCAUAAAUAAAUCAAAACUUUCAACAACGGAUCUCUUGGUUCUGGCAUCGAUGAAGAACGCAGCAAAAUGCGAUAAGUAAUGUGAAUUGCAGAAUUCAGUGAAUCAUCGAAUCUUUGAACGCACAUUGCGCCCGCCAGUAUUCUGGCGGGCAUGCCUGUUCGAGCGUCAUUUCAACCCUCAAGCACAGCUUGGUGUUGGGACUCGCGUUAAUUCGCGUUCCUCAAAUUGAUUGGCGGUCACGUCGAGCUUCCAUAGCGUAGUAGUAAAACCCUCGUUACUGGUAAUCGUCGCGGCCACGCCGUUAAACCCCAACUUCUGAAUGUUGACCUCGGAUCAGGUAGGAAUACCCGCUGAACUUAAGCAUAUCA